RNAcentral lists this small nuclear RNA (100 nucleotides) under Rattus norvegicus (Norway rat). The record is from RNAcentral. Lineage: Eukaryota; Metazoa; Chordata; Mammalia; Rodentia; Muridae.
GUGCUCGCUUCGGCAGCACAUAUACUAAAAUUGGAACGAUACAGAGAAGAUUAGCAUGGCCCCUGCGCAAGAAAGAAAGAAAGAAAAAAAUUAAAGUUUA